UACGUAGGGUGCAAGCGUUAAUCGGAAUUACUGGGCGUAAAGCGUGCGCAGGCGGUGAUGUAAGACAGAUGUGAAAUCCCCGGGCUCAACCUGGGAACUGCAUUUGUGACUGCAUCGCUAGAGUACGGCAGAGGGGGAUGGAAUUCCGCGCGUAGCAGUGAAAUGCGUAGAUAUGCGGAGGAACACCGAUGGCGAAGGCAAUCCCCUGGGCCUGUACUGACGCUCAUGCACGAAAGCGUGGGGAGCAAACAGG
Molecule: ribosomal RNA, 253 nt
Filed under: uncultured bacterium
Lineage: Bacteria
Description: partial 16S ribosomal RNA
Rfam family: Bacterial small subunit ribosomal RNA
Source: RNAcentral